AGGAUGAACGCUGGCGGCGUGCCUAACACAUGCAAGUCGAACGUCCUGUCUCGCAAGAGGCAGGGAGUGGCGGACGGGUGAGUACCACGUGGGUCAUCUACCGUGAGGUGAGGAAUACCGGCGAGAAAUCGCCGACAAGACCGCAUAGGCUCGAUGCAAGUCGAGCAAAGCUCUUUCGAGAGAGGGAGCGCCACACGAGGAGCCUGCGCCCGAUUAGCUAGCUGGUGGAGUAACGGUUCACCAGGGCGACGAUCGGUAGCUGGUCUGAGAGGACGAUCAGCCACACUGGGAUUGAGAACGGCCCAGACUCCUACGGGGGGCAGCAGUGAGGAAUUUUCGUCAAUGGGGGCAACCCUGAACGAGCAACGCCGCGUGCAGGAGAAGGUUUUCGGAUCGUAAACUGCUUUUCUCGGGGAAGAGAAUGGACGGUACCGAGGAAUCGAGCCCCGGCUAACUACGCGCCAGCAGCCGCGGU
This 475-nucleotide ribosomal RNA is filed under the name uncultured bacterium. Its description in RNAcentral is "SSU rRNA". It matches the Rfam family "Bacterial small subunit ribosomal RNA", at positions 26 to 521 of the family's 1533-position model. The record is from RNAcentral.